UGGGGAAUAUUGGACAAUGGGCGAAAGCCUGAUCCAGCAAUGCCGCGUGAGUGAUGAAGGCCUUCGGGUUGUAAAGCUCUGUCGGGAGGGACGAAAAAGCCGGUUAACACCCGGUAUUGACGGUACCUCCAAAGGAAGCACCGGCUAACUCUGUGCCAGCAGCCGCGGUAAUACAGAGGGUGCAAGCGUUGUUCGGAAUUACUGGGCGUAAAGCGCGUGUAGGUGGCAGCGUAAGUCGGGUGUGAAAUCCCUUGGCUCAACCAAGGAAGUGCACUCGAUACUGCGUUGCUUGAGUACUGGAGGGGAUGGCGGAAUUCCCGGUGUAGAGGUGAAAUUCGUAGAUAUCGGGAGGAACACCUGUGGCGAAGGCGGCCAUCUGGACAGUCACUGACACUGAGACGCGAAAGCGUGGGUAGCAAACAGG
Molecule: ribosomal RNA, 424 nt
Filed under: uncultured bacterium
Lineage: Bacteria
Description: bacterial SSU rRNA
Rfam family: Bacterial small subunit ribosomal RNA
Source: RNAcentral